RNAcentral lists this ribosomal RNA (253 nucleotides) under uncultured bacterium. RNAcentral's name for it is "partial 16S ribosomal RNA". It matches the Rfam family "Bacterial small subunit ribosomal RNA", at positions 524 to 776 of the family's 1533-position model. The record is from RNAcentral.
UACGAAGGGGGCGAGCGUUGUUCGGAUUUACUGGGCGUAAAGGGCGCGCAGGCGGCGCAUUUUGUCAGGCGUGAAAGCCCCGGGCUUAACCUGGGAACUGCGUUUGAUACGGAUGGGCUAGAGUUCGGGAGAGGAGAGUGGAAUUCCCAGUGUAGAGGUGAAAUUCGUAGAUAUUGGGAAGAACACCAGUGGCGAAGGCGGCUCACUGGCCCGUAACUGACGCUGAGGUGCGAAAGCGUGGGGAGCAAACAGG